CUGCAUCUCUUGACAAACCCGGAGCAGAGUGAAAAGUGGCUUCUUUGGGGUUUAGAUAAUGAUGCUAGAUCAAUUUCCCUGCGCUUUCUGUGUGCUUUCAUGUAGCAGUUCAGAUUGAAUAAGGGAAGACAUCC
Molecule: small nucleolar RNA, 134 nt
Organism: Polyodon spathula (Mississippi paddlefish)
Lineage: Eukaryota; Metazoa; Chordata; Actinopteri; Acipenseriformes; Polyodontidae
Product: small nucleolar RNA SNORA31
Exons: 1
Source: RefSeq, a predicted model, not a curated record